GUUCUGGCCUUGAACUCACGAUGUAGUCCAGGCUGGCCUCAAACUGUGGCAAUCCUUCUGCCUCAGCCUCCCCAUUGCUGGGGUUAUAAGCGUGCACCACCACGCCUGGCUUUUUUUCUCUUUUAGCUCGCCCAGCCUCAGUCUGUCUGGAUCACCAUCCAGCACUGGUCCCAAAACACACGUUGCUCAGGGCUCAAGUCUUCGCAGGGCUCACUGCAGCGCCAGGAGCCUUUCCACACCUCCUGCCAACCUGGCCUCACCUGCUUGUCCUCCACUGCACAUUUCCCCUCAGGUCCCCUGGCCGCGCUCCGCCUGCCCAGUUUUCAUAAUCCUCUCAGGCUCCAGCGAGAGAGGCACCGCCCACCGCAGGGCCUGGUCACGUGAGGGAAACACUGCGGGCCCCAGGCUGCGGACGGAGCCUGGAGAGCCCUGUCCUGUUUCCCUCCGCGCUGAAGUCAGGCUGUCAGGAAACCUGGCCCGUCUCCCGCUAAGCGACCUAGACCUCCACCCUCGCAUCACUACAUGCGAAUUAUACCUCUGUUGGAAGACGAGGAGGUGCUGUCAUCGUUCAUUACAUCAGCAAGCGCUCGUGGAGAACCUGCCACACCAACAGACCAGACUGGAUGCUUUGGAUCCAGUCUCUGGCUCAGCUGUCCUGUGAGGGAGCAGCCACAGGGAGACAAACGGCACUUCCUGUGCACUUCGAGCAGCUGGCUAUUUACAAGAGCCCCUGGUCACACAGGGGUCGAACUUGGGACCUUGCGCUUGCCAGGCAGGUGGCGGAACCACUGAGCUAAAUCCCUGGCUCGGCUGAGUGAAUUUUUGAUAGGACAAAUGUCCCACUGCAUUAUCUGCGUGAGGGGGAAGUCAGCCUGUGAAUUGUGGAUACAAAAGUCCCUUUUCCCCUUAUCCUCAGCUGGGAGACUUUUCCCUGGCUCACUCUCACCCUGUAGAGUGUACCUCUUUUCUACCUUCAAUAAAUGUACCAUUUUGCUGCCU
RNAcentral lists this long non-coding RNA (999 nucleotides) under Heterocephalus glaber (naked mole-rat). RNAcentral's name for it is "lncRNA (ENSHGLG00100045583.1)". Lineage: Eukaryota; Metazoa; Chordata; Mammalia; Rodentia; Bathyergidae. The record is from RNAcentral.